This 253-nucleotide ribosomal RNA is filed under the name uncultured bacterium. Its description in RNAcentral is "partial 16S ribosomal RNA". It matches the Rfam family "Bacterial small subunit ribosomal RNA", at positions 524 to 776 of the family's 1533-position model. The record is from RNAcentral.
UACGGAGGAUCCGAGCGUUAUCCGGAUUUAUUGGGUUUAAAGGGUGCGUAGGCGGUUUGAUAAGUUAGAGGCGAAAUGUCGGGGCUCAACCCCGAAACUGCCUCUAAUACUGUUGGACUAGAGAAUAGUUGCGGUAGGCGGAAUGUAUGGUGUAGCGGUGAAAUGCUUAGAGAUCAUACAGAACACCGAUUGCGAAGGCAGCUUACCAAACUAUAUCUGACGUUGAGGCACGAAAGCGUGGGUAGCAAACAGG